RNAcentral lists this ribosomal RNA (497 nucleotides) under uncultured bacterium. Its description in RNAcentral is "partial 16S ribosomal RNA". It matches the Rfam family "Bacterial small subunit ribosomal RNA", at positions 28 to 507 of the family's 1533-position model. The record is from RNAcentral.
GACGAACGCUGGCGGCGUGCCUAAUACAUGCAAGUUGAGCGCUGAAGGUUGGUACUUGUACCAACUGGAUGAGCAGCGAACGGGUGAGUAACGCGUGGGGAAUCUGCCUUUGAGCGGGGGACAACAUUUGGAAACGAAUGCUAAUACCGCAUAAAAACUUUAAACACAAGUUUUAAGUUUGAAAGAUGCAAUUGCAUCACUCAAAGAUGAUCCCGCGUUGUAUUAGGUAGUUGGUGAGGUAAAGGCUCACCAAGGCGAUGAUACAUAGCCGACCUGAGAGGGUGAUGGGCCACAUUGGGACUGAGGCACGGCCCAAACUCCUACGGGAGGCAGCAGUAGGGAAUCUUCGGCAAUGGACGAAAGUCUGACCGAGCAACGCCGCGUGAGUGAAGAAGGUUUUCGGAUCGUAGAACUCUGUUGGUAGAGAAGAACGUUGGUGAGAGUGGAAAGCUCAUCAAGUGACGGUAACUACCCAGAAAGGGACGGCUAACUACGUG